Cajanus cajan (pigeon pea) is the source of this 190-nucleotide non-coding RNA. NCBI's taxonomy places the organism in Eukaryota, Viridiplantae, Streptophyta, Magnoliopsida, Fabales, Fabaceae. The record is from RefSeq and is a predicted model, not a curated record.
CGAAAUAAAAAUAAUCGGGCUUCUACUAGAGGUGGAGCAUUGCACACAACGGGACGUAAGUCUCAUCUUGAGGUUACGUUAGGCCUAGAGCGUAAAUAUGGUCGACCUCUAGAUCCGGACGAGCUAUUUGUGGCCACUCACACAAAGAAAACUGGUAGCUGGGUUGAUGACCGUGCUCGUGAUACAUAUG